AGCAGUGUAUCUAACAGCUUCAUUAAUGCCAGAGUAAUUAUUAUGUACCACAGUAGUGGCUAUCGCAUCAGGAAUUUCUAUACCAGAACUGCAGCAGCAUUCUGAUUCUUCAGAACUCAAGAGCAACGUUUGUAAAGCAUGCCUUUUUGCUUGGUUUCACUAUACGGUACCACAAAGGGCUUUACGAGCAUGGAGCGGGGAUAAUUCAUAUGCCCAGGGCUGGGGAGAGGAGAGCCUGCCUGAGCUGAUGCUACCGCCAACAGAAAUGUCUUUGCAACCGGGGCCAAGUAAUCAGGAUACAAACCUGGGGAAAGGCAGUCUCCGAGGAUGGAUGUACGCUUGAAGCCACUCUGAUGUUUCAGUGCUCCUGCACGUGGUGCCUACUUGGAUAUACAAUUCCUUGGAGGCCCUUAACCCAACUGUGCCAUGUUUGAGCUGGUAUUGGUGAUGUCUAUCACUGGAGUGGAUGAAAACACAGACAUGUAGGUAGAGAAAUGCUGGACUGGAAUGGUCUUUGUAAAGGAAAGCCAUGAUAUUACGGCAGAUGCCAGAAGUGGCAAGUUUUGGAUCGGGUUUGACGUGGAGGUUCAACACAAGGCAAGAAGCCCGAUGAGAGGUGGAGUGACCGUGGGAAAAGCCAUCGCAGAAGUUUGAUGCAAGGUGGGAGAUUCAGUCUGAGGGAUGGUGGCUGAGGAAAGGCCCAGCUAUAGAGAGAGUCCUAAGAGAAAAUAAAAGAGCAGAGCUCCGAGCUUGCAUUUGCAUGAGGACUGAGAAGAGGUAAGAAGAACUGGCAAAAUGGUCCAUGGGAACGUUGUGAGAGGCUGAGCACAACUUCGGCUGACGAUGCGUGGUCCACUGCACACUGAUCACACAAACUUACGCUUGUCAAAAAUAUCAGGGAUGCCAUUUGAAUUGGCACACCCAAUUUAGACCAGGCCAGCAUGGUAUAUUGUCAGCCCUCAGCUGUGGAUUAGCAAAACCUUCCGAGUGACCUGAGUUAUGUGGCUCUUGAGCUGUGGCUUUUUUUUAAUGGAGUUUGUAGAAGUGGGAGGUAGUCAUGUGCGGUGGGAGGUGUUAGGAGUGUUUUUGAUGCGAGGAGUCUUUUGGGCCUCCAGAUGAUUACUUAAUCAAUCAAAUACAAGGAUUCAAGUAGAGCUGUACUUACUGCCAGAUGAUCGUUAUGUUAUGGAAAAGGUUUGAAUGGAAGAACUUGGAAAUGUAGUGAUAGACUAAUGAUGAAUCUUCCUUAGACUUGUUCAGAUAUCCCGUUGCAGAAACUCUGCCUCUUGAUGAUUGGAUUAAUGGUUGAAAGAGACAGCUUGGCAGACUCGAACAAAAGGCUUUCCACAGAUUUGCUUUGGAGGGCUUGAGCCUUUUAACCACAUGGUAAUUGUAAAGACUAUAAAUAAAAUUUAAAAAUG
This is a long non-coding RNA of Gymnogyps californianus (California condor), 1421 nucleotides long. RefSeq lists it as uncharacterized. NCBI's taxonomy places the organism in Eukaryota, Metazoa, Chordata, Aves, Accipitriformes, Cathartidae. The record is from RefSeq and is a predicted model, not a curated record. The transcript has 3 exons.